This is a long non-coding RNA of Macrobrachium nipponense, 530 nucleotides long. RefSeq lists it as uncharacterized. Lineage: Eukaryota; Metazoa; Arthropoda; Malacostraca; Decapoda; Palaemonidae. The transcript has 3 exons. The record is from RefSeq and is a predicted model, not a curated record.
ACAGGUGCAACAUCGUCCCCUGACUCUUAUACUACAAUAAGACUGGUAAUCUGGGGCAGGAAGCCAUCCUAUGGUAUUAAAGAUGUAUCUAAAUUUGCAGUGGCUUUAUGUGAACUAGCAGGCCAUGUACCCUUUUAUUCUGAGGAGAAAUGGCCAACUGUAACUGAAGAUGAAUUAGUUCCUGCUAUAAAAGAUAUUUGUUCUGAUACAUAUGAGUAUUUGCUACCUAAAGUUAAAAAAUUGUUUAGCUAAGCUGAUUGUCAUUACUGGUAUAGUAAAUUAUGUUGUAUUUGUAUUUUUAAGGGUUAUAUGCAUUUUUUUUCACAUACGGUCUAAAAACUUAGAAUGGUUUUCUAUCCCAGUUGAAUGUCUUAGUUGCUUUUGUGAUUUUUGCUUCCAGAGAUAUACAGUAACUUUCAAUAACUUUUUUAUGUGGAGGAAUACUCAAAUUUUAAGUUGCUAUUCUUGUCACAUCAGAGGGAGAUAAGAGUUGUAAGAUGCAGAGUAGUUUUUUAAGAGAAGGCUGUUUA